GACGAACGCUGGCGGCGUGCUUAACACAUGCAAGUCGAACGGAAAGGCCCCUUUGGGGGUACUCGAGUGGCGAACGGGUGAGUAACACGUGAGUAACCUGCCCUUGACUUCGGGAUAACUUCAGGAAACUGGGGCUAAUACCGGAUAGGAAUCCUUGCUGCAUGGUGGGGGUUGGAAAGCUUCGGCGGUUUUGGAUGGACUCGCGGCUUAUCAGCUUGGUGGUGGGGUAGUGGCUUACCAAGGCUUUGACGGGUAGCCGGCCUGAGAGGGCGACCGGCCACAUUGGGACCGAGAUACGGCCCAGACUCCUACGGGAGGGAACAGGGGGGAAUAUUGCCAAAGGGGCGGGAGGCGAAUGCAGCCACGCCGCGUGCCGGAUGACGGGCCUCCGGUUGUAAACCGCUUUCCGCAGGGGCGGAGCUUGUGGUGACGGUACCUGGAGAAGAAGCCCCGGCUAACUACGUG
RNAcentral lists this ribosomal RNA (465 nucleotides) under uncultured bacterium. RNAcentral describes it as "partial 16S ribosomal RNA". It matches the Rfam family "Bacterial small subunit ribosomal RNA", at positions 28 to 507 of the family's 1533-position model. The record is from RNAcentral.